ACACGCAUGACACACUGCAUAUCAAUAAGCGGAGGAAAAGAAACUAACAAGGAUUCCCUUAGUAACGGCGAGUGAAGCGGGAAGAGCUCAAAUUUGAAAUCUUCAAGGUUCUACCUUGACGAAUUGUAGUUUAUAGAAGUGUUUUCUGUUAGUAGAGUGGCAAAAGUUCUUUGGAAUAGGACAUCAUAGAGGGUGAGAAUCCCGUAUUUGGUCAUUCUUUCUAGCUUUGUGAUACACUUUCAACGAGUCGGAUUGUUUGGGGAAUGCAGUCCAAAAUGGGUGGUAAAUUUCAUCUAAAGCUAAAUAUUGGCGAGAGACCGAUAGCGAACAAGUACCGUGAGGGAAAGAUGAAAAGAACUUUGAAAAGAGAGUUAAACAGUACGUGAAAUUGUCAAAAGGGAAGCGUUUGACACCAGUGUUGUUUUUCCGAAAAUCAAUUACGAAUGUUUUAGUUUUUGAGAAGUUAUGACUUCAUCGGCUUGCUUCUCUCUUUAUGAAACUUUCUUAAUGCACUUUUCGGUUAACAAGUCAACAUCAAUUUCUUUUGUUGUAAAAGGGUAUGAGGAAGGUGGCUUUCUUUUCGGAGAAAGUGUUUAUAGCCUUGUACCUCUGCAAUCGGAGAGAUUGAGGUCUGCAGCGUAGAUCCUUCGGGGUUAGAUACAUUUGUGCUAAGUUAUAGCUUUUCAUAGACAACUUGUUGACUAUGUUUAGUCUUGUAGCUUACUCGCUUAUGCUAUUUUACCUACGCUUAGGAUGUUGAAGACUCUACAGAGAU
This 775-nucleotide ribosomal RNA is filed under the name uncultured Neocallimastigales. RNAcentral describes it as "partial large subunit ribosomal RNA". It matches the Rfam family "Eukaryotic large subunit ribosomal RNA", at positions 23 to 628 of the family's 3401-position model. Lineage: Eukaryota; Fungi; Neocallimastigomycota; Neocallimastigomycetes; Neocallimastigales. The record is from RNAcentral.